UACCAUGCAGUCGAGCGGAGAUGAGGUGCUUGCACCUUAUCUUAGCGGCGGACGGGUGAGUAAUGCUUAGGAAUCUGCCUAUUAGUGGGGGACAACAUUCCGAAAGGAAUGCUAAUACCGCAUACGUCCUACGGGAGAAAGCAGGGGAUCUUCGGACCUUGCGCUAAUAGAUGAGCCUAAGUCGGAUUAGCUAGUUGGUGGGGUAAAGGCCUACCAAGGCGACGAUCUGUAGCGGGUCUGAGAGGAUGAUCCGCCACACUGGGACUGAGACACGGCCCAGACUCCUACGGGAGGCAGCAGUGGGGAAUAUUGGACAAUGGGGGGAACCCUGAUCCAGCCAUGCCGCGUGUGUGAAGAAGGCCUUAUGGUUGUAAAGCACUUUAAGCGAGGAGGAGGCUACUGAGACUAAUACUCUUGGAUAGUGGACGUUACUCGCAGAAUAAGCACCGGCUAACUCUGUGCCAGCAGCCGCGGUAAUACAGAGGGUGCGAGCGUUAAUCGGAUUUACUGGGCGUAAAGCGUGCGUAGGCGGCUUUUUAAGUCGGAUGUGAAAUCCCCGAGCUUAACUUGGGAAUUGCAUUCGAUACUGGGAAGCUAGAGUAUGGGAGAGGAUGGUAGAAUUCCAGGUGUAGCGGUGAAAUGCGUAGAGAUCUGGAGGAAUACCGAUGGCGAAGGCAGCCAUCUGGCCUAAUACUGACGCUGAGGUACGAAAGCAUG
RNAcentral lists this ribosomal RNA (717 nucleotides) under uncultured bacterium. Its description in RNAcentral is "bacterial SSU rRNA". It matches the Rfam family "Bacterial small subunit ribosomal RNA", at positions 52 to 763 of the family's 1533-position model. The record is from RNAcentral.